GACGAACGCUGGCGGCGUGCUUAACACAUGCAAGUCGAACGGUGAAGCGCCUUCCUUUUUGGUGGGUGUGGAUGAGUGGCGAACGGGUGAGUAACACGUGAGUAACCUGCCCCCUUCUUCUGGAUAACCGCAUGAAAGUGUGGCUAAUACGGGAUAUUCUGGGUCUGUCGCAUGAUGGGUCUGGGAAAGAUAUUGUUUCGGUGGGGGAUGGGCUCGCGGCCUAUCAACUUGUUGGUGGGGUGAUGGCCUACCAAGGCGGUGACGGGUAGCCGGCCUGAGAGGGUGGACGGUCACACUGGGACUGAGACACGGCCCAGACUCCUACGGGAGGCAGCAGUGGGGAAUAUUGCACAAUGGGCGCAAGCCUGAUGCAGCGACGCCGCGUGAGGGAUGGAGGCCUUCGGGUUGUGAACCUCUUUCGCCAGUGAAGCAGGCCUGCCUCGUUUGUGGGUGGGUUGAUGGUAGCUGGAGAAGAAGCGCCGGCUAACUACGUG
This 494-nucleotide ribosomal RNA is filed under the name uncultured bacterium. RNAcentral's name for it is "partial 16S ribosomal RNA". It matches the Rfam family "Bacterial small subunit ribosomal RNA", at positions 28 to 507 of the family's 1533-position model. The record is from RNAcentral.